CUGUAGCCAAGGAAACCACCAUGUGCUCCCUCCACAGGGAGCCUGGUGUGCAAUGGUGGCAAACAGUAGCCCCCUCAGUAGUGUAUACAGCCUGUUGCUUAAAUGGGUUGCCUUACAGGACUUUGGACACAGCC
Molecule: small nucleolar RNA, 134 nt
Organism: Vulpes vulpes (red fox)
Lineage: Eukaryota; Metazoa; Chordata; Mammalia; Carnivora; Canidae
Gene: SNORA70
Rfam family: Small nucleolar RNA SNORA70
About the family: snoRNA U70 seems to be exclusive to mammals and is a member of the H/ACA class of snoRNA which contain H (ANANNA) and ACA box motifs.
Source: Ensembl